AGAGUUUGAUCAUGGCUCAGGAUGAACGCUAGCUACAGGCUUAACACAUGCAAGUCGAGGGGCAGCAUGUUGGUUGCUUGCAACCAACGAUGGCGACCGGCGCACGGGUGAGUAACGCGUAUCCAACCUACCCUUGCCCAUCGGAUAACCCGUCGAAAGGCGGCCUAACACGAUAUGCGGUUCACAGCAGGCAUCUAACGUGAACGAAAUGUGGAGGAGAAGGAUGGGGAUGCGUCUGAUUAGCUUGUUGGCGGGUAACGGCCACAAGGCUACGAUCAGUAGGGGUUCUGAGAGGAAGGUCCCCCACAUUGGAACUGAGACACGGUCCAAACUCCUACGGGAGGCA
RNAcentral lists this ribosomal RNA (346 nucleotides) under uncultured bacterium. RNAcentral describes it as "bacterial SSU rRNA". It matches the Rfam family "Bacterial small subunit ribosomal RNA", at positions 8 to 350 of the family's 1533-position model. The record is from RNAcentral.